GAACGCUUUUUCUUUCACCGGAGCUUGCUCCACCGAAAGAAAAGGAGUGGCGAACGGGUGAGUAACACGUGGGUAACCUGCCCAUCAGAAGGGGAUAACACUUGGAAACAGGUGCUAAUACCGUAUAACAAUCGAAACCGCAUGGUUUCGGUUUGAAAGGCGCUUUUGCGUCACUGGUGGAUGGACCCGCGGUGCAUUAGCUAGUUGGUGAGGUAACGGCUCACCAAGGCAACGAUGCAUAGCCGACCUGAGAGGGUGAUCGGCCACAUUGGGACUGAGACACGGCCCAAACUCCUACGGGAGGCAGCAGUAGGGAAUCUUCGGCAAUGGACGCAAGUCUGACCGAGCAACGCCGCGUGAGUGAAGAAGGUUUUCGGAUCGUAAAACUCUGUUGUUAGAGAAGAACAAGGAUGAGAGUAAAAUGUUCAUCCCUUGACGGUAUCUAACCAGAAAGCCACGGCUAACUACGUGCCAGCAGCCGCGGUAAUACGUAGGUGGCAAGCGUUGUCCGGAUUUAUUGGGCGUAAAGCGAGCGCAGGCGGUUUCUUAAGUCUGAUGUGAAAGCCCCCGGCUCAACCGGGGAGGGUCAUUGGAAACUGGGAAACUUGAGUGCAGAAGAGGAGAGUGGAAUUCCAUGUGUAGCGGUGAAAUGCGUAGAUAUAUGGAGGAACAC
This 673-nucleotide ribosomal RNA is filed under the name uncultured Bacilli bacterium. Its description in RNAcentral is "bacterial SSU rRNA". It matches the Rfam family "Bacterial small subunit ribosomal RNA", at positions 64 to 709 of the family's 1533-position model. Lineage: Bacteria; Bacillati; Bacillota; Bacilli. The record is from RNAcentral.